GUGGGGAAUAUUGGACAAUGGGCGAAAGCCUGAUCCAGCCAUGCCGCGUGUGUGAAGAAGGUCUUCGGAUUGUAAAGCACUUUAAGUUGGGAGGAAGGGCAGUAAGUUAAUACCUUGCUGUUUUGACGUUACCGACAGAAUAAGCACCGGCUAACUUCGUGCCAGCAGCCGCGGUAAUACGAAGGGUGCAAGCGUUAAUCGGACUUACUGGGCGUAAAGCGCGCGUAGGUGGUUUUGUAAGUUGGAGGUGAAAUCCCCGGGCUCAACCUGGGAACUGCCUCCAAAACUGCAUGACUAGAGUACGGUAGAGGGUAGUGGAAUUUCCUGUGUAGCGGUGAAAUGCGUAGAUAUAGGAAGGAACACCAGUGGCGAAGGCGACUACCUGGACUGAUACUGACACUGAGGUGCGAAAGCGUGGGGAGCAAACAGGAUUAGAAACCCGAGUAGUCC
Molecule: ribosomal RNA, 450 nt
Filed under: uncultured bacterium
Lineage: Bacteria
Description: partial 16S ribosomal RNA
Rfam family: Bacterial small subunit ribosomal RNA
Source: RNAcentral